UGUUGAGGAAGAUAAUGACGGUACUCAACAAGGAAGUGACGGCUAACUACGUGCCAGCAGCCGCGGUAAAACGUAGGUCACAAGCGUUGUCCGGAAUUACUGGGUGUAAAGGGAGCGCAGGCGGGAAGACAAGUUGGAAGUGAAAUCCAUGGGCUCAACCCAUGAACUGCUUUCAAAACUGUUUUUCUUGAGUAGUGCAGAGGUAGGCGGAAUUCCCGGUGUAGCGGUGGAAUGCGUAGAUAUCGGGAGGAACACCAGUGGCGAAGGCGGCCUACUGGGCACCAACUGACGCUGAGGCUCGAAAGUGUGGGUAGCAAACAGGAUUAGAUACCCUGGUAGUCCACACCGUAAACGAUGAUUACUAGGUGUUGGAGGAUUGACCCCUUCAGUGCCGCAGUUAACACAAUAAGUAAUCCACCUGGGGAGUACGACCGCAAGGUUGAAACUCAAAGGAAUUGACGGGGGCCCGCACAAGCAGUGGAGUAUGUGGUUUAAUUCGACGCAACGCGAAGAACCUUACCAAGUCUUGACAUCCCUUGACGAUGCUGGAAACAGUAUUUCUCUUCGGAGCAAGGAGACAGGUGGUGCAUGGUUGUCGUCAGCUCGUGUCGUGAGAUGUUGGGUUAAGUCCCGCAACGAGCGCAACCCUUAUGGUCAGUUACUACGCAAGAGGACUCUGGCCRGACUGCG
RNAcentral lists this ribosomal RNA (690 nucleotides) under Faecalibacterium prausnitzii. RNAcentral describes it as "bacterial SSU rRNA". It matches the Rfam family "Bacterial small subunit ribosomal RNA", at positions 437 to 1153 of the family's 1533-position model. The record is from RNAcentral. Lineage: Bacteria; Bacillati; Bacillota; Clostridia; Eubacteriales; Oscillospiraceae.